Molecule: long non-coding RNA, 1404 nt
Filed under: Homo sapiens (human)
Lineage: Eukaryota; Metazoa; Chordata; Mammalia; Primates; Hominidae
Description: HSALNT0081737
Source: RNAcentral
ACAAUAUUAUUUUGAAACAAAAAACAAAGACAGAAAGGUGCACAUAUUUCUACCCCAUACUAGUUUCCAAACUGCAGGUUGAGCAUUCAUGAUAAACUCCUGCAUUAAGUAUAUAUGAUCCACUAUCAGUGCACAUAGCUAAGAUACACUAGAAAUGCUUCCCGGGAACUCAGAUUUUAUUUCAUGAGAAUCAUUUUUUCCUUAGCUAGUAUAGAAAAUUAUUUAAUAAUAUGCAAGUGGUGAAGAGUAACAGACAGCAUUCCUAAGAUACAUCAUGCGUCUCGACGCAUUGGUUAUAUCAUUGCCUCUGUAAAUUGUCCCUGAAUUCUACAAAUAGAAUGUCUAGAAAAAUUUUCUAAUGAUUCACAUCAAGUUUUCUUUAAAGUUUACUUUUUUAGAAGCUUCCUAAAUAGUUGAACAUAAAAUUUCUCAAAUUUUCCUCAAAGUGUGCAUUUCGCUUACUAUUUUCUGGAAUAUAGGAAACAAGGAUCAUGGGACAGCACGUCUCACUGGCAUUUACAUUCACUGCCCCAAAUCAGAACCAAACCACUGUUCAAGUCUUCUGUAAGAACACUGGAUUUGGGUCCCUGAGGUGCUGAUAAAAUUUUAUUUUUUGGCUUACAUAAUUAUUAUAUGGGCAUUCAGUAAUUGUUGGACUUUACAUGUGUGGACUUUAUGGGUUUUUGCAAUUGUAUUUCACAAUAAAAAGAAACAAAAGGCAGCUAUUUUUAGUAUUACUUAAAUGUUAAUUUAUGUAAUAAUCCCUUAAACCCGAUCUGAGUCCCCACUCAAGUAAAUUUUAAUAUGGCAUACUACUUUAAAAAACUAAUUAGUUCAACUUUGUAGUAAACUGGCAGCUUCGACCCACAUCCACUCUAACACCUAUUGCAGAAGGAGGCUGGCUGUUUACACUAAGCCUCCUAGUUGCUGCAUCCCCUCUGCUCAUAGUCCAAGGAGGUAGCUCAGAAAUUGAGUCUGAGAACAGAGGCUGGGUGUGGUGGCUCACGCCUGUAAUCCCAACACUUUGGGAGGCUGAGGCAGGUGGAUCACCUGAGGUCAGGAGUUCGAGACCAGUCUGGCCUAGAUGGUGAAACCCCAUCUCUACUAAAAAUACAAAAAUUAGCUGGGUGUGAUGGUGCGCACCUGUAAUCCCAGCUACUUAGGAGGCCAAGGCAGGAGAAUCGCUUGAACCCGGGAGGCAGAUGUUGCAGUGAACCGCUGCACUCCAGCCUGGGCAACAUAACCAGAUCUGUCUCAAAAAAAAAAAGAAAAAGAAAUUAAGAACCAAACGUAUAAUUCAGUUGUAGGGUGUGGCCACCCUCCUUUGACCAAAGUAGUUCUCUGUUUUACAUACACAAUGCCCCCAUUUUUCUUUGAAGAAAUAUGGCUAAAGUUUGAAAACCA